AUGAACCUUUGAGGGUUGAGCUGGCGAUUUAAUUCGCAUGUGCUUGCCCUCUCAUCCUUUUAACACCUGUGCACCUUUUGAAGGGGAAUAGUAGAUUAGACUAGUCUAGUCGAGAUCCCCCUUCUAAAUCACAUACACUUUAUUUAUUAUCGAAUGUUCAAACGCUUAACAGCAUUUAAAUA
Molecule: unclassified non-coding RNA, 182 nt
Filed under: uncultured fungus
Lineage: Eukaryota; Fungi
Also listed under: 1 other name
Description: sequence contains ITS1, 5.8S rRNA gene
Source: RNAcentral